RNAcentral lists this unclassified non-coding RNA (283 nucleotides) under uncultured fungus. Its description in RNAcentral is "partial internal transcribed spacer 2". The record is from RNAcentral. Lineage: Eukaryota; Fungi.
AACGCAUAUUGCGCCGCGCGGUACUCCGCGCGGCACGUCCGACCGAGCGCCGCUGCAACGCUCGCGGGCGCCCGCCAGCCCUCUGCGGCUGAGCGGGCGGCCCGCGGUGCUGGGACGGCCGGGGAGACCCGGCCCCCCGAAAUAGCGCGGCGGCCGGCGCGGCGAGCCCGGCGAAGUAGAACACGGCGCCUGGGGUAGCCCAGCCGGCCUGCCAGGACGCCCCUGGCGGCACCACGGAAACAAAGUUGGCCUCGGGUCGGACGAGGUUACCCGCUGAACUUAA